Molecule: ribosomal RNA, 893 nt
Filed under: uncultured archaeon
Lineage: Archaea
Description: bacterial SSU rRNA
Rfam family: Archaeal small subunit ribosomal RNA
Source: RNAcentral
AGGCUACCGCUAUUGGAGUUCGAUUAAGCCAUGCGAGUCUAGAGGCCUAGCCUCGGCGUACCGCUCAGUAACACGUGGGUAACCUACCCUAUGCUGGGGGAUAAGCUCGGGAAACUGAGAAUAAUACCCCAUAGUCCACUACGCCUGGAACGGUGAGUGGAUCAAAGCUCCGGCGGCAUAGGAUGGGCCUGCGGCGUAUCAGGUUGUAGGGGGUGUAACGUACCCUCUAGCCAUCCACGCGUACGGGUGUUGGGAGACAUUGCCCGGAGAUGGAUUCUGAGACACGAAUCCAGACCCUACGGGGUGCAGCAGGCGCGAAAACUUGGCAAUGCGAGAAAUCGUGACCAGGGAACUCCAAGUGGCAGGGGUAAGACCCUGUCUUUUUCCGACUCUAAAUAGGUCGGCGAAUAAGGGGUGGGUAAGGACGGUGCCAGCCGCCGCGGUAAUACCGGCGCCUCAAGUGGUAGUCGCUUUUAUUGGGCCUAAAACGUCCGUAGCCGGUCUGGUACAUUCGUGGGUAAAUCAACUCGCUUAACGAGUUGAAUUCUGCGAGGACGGCCAGACUUGGGACCGGGAGAGGUGUGGGGUACUCUCAGGGUAGGGGUAAAAUCCUGUCAUCCUGAGAGGACCACCUGUUGCGAAGGCUCCACACUAGAACGGAUCCGACGGUCAGGGACGAAGCCUAGGGGCACGAACCGGAUUAGAUACCCGGGUAGUCCUAGGUGUAAACGCUGUGGACUUGAUGUUGGGGACGCUCCGAGCGUUCUCAGUGUCGAAGCGAAGGCGAUAAGUCCACUGCCUGGGGAGUACGGUCGCAAGGCUGAAACUUAAAGGAAUUGGCGGGGGAGCACCGCAACCUGAGAUUGUGCGGUUUAAUUGGAUUCAACGCCGGG